RNAcentral lists this ribosomal RNA (293 nucleotides) under uncultured Pseudomonas sp. RNAcentral describes it as "partial 16S ribosomal RNA". It matches the Rfam family "Bacterial small subunit ribosomal RNA", at positions 1091 to 1382 of the family's 1533-position model. Lineage: Bacteria; Pseudomonadati; Pseudomonadota; Gammaproteobacteria; Pseudomonadales; Pseudomonadaceae. The record is from RNAcentral.
AACGAGCGCAACCCUUGUCCUUAGUUACCAGCACGUUAUGGUGGGCACUCUAAGGAGACUGCCGGUGACAAACCGGAGGAAGGUGGGGAUGACGUCAAGUCAUCAUGGCCCUUACGGCCUGGGCUACACACGUGCUACAAUGGUCGGUACAAAGGGUUGCCAAGCCGCGAGGUGGAGCUAAUCCCAUAAAACCGAUCGUAGUCCGGAUCGCAGUCUGCAACUCGACUGCGUGAAGUCGGAAUCGCUAGUAAUCGUGAAUCAGAAUGUCACGGUGAAUACGUUCCCGGGCCUUA